RNAcentral lists this long non-coding RNA (484 nucleotides) under Carica papaya (papaya). Its description in RNAcentral is "long non-coding RNA (CPAP_LNC003431)". Lineage: Eukaryota; Viridiplantae; Streptophyta; Magnoliopsida; Brassicales; Caricaceae. The record is from RNAcentral.
CGAAAUUUCGGCAGCAUCUUUCUUUAUAAUUAUCUUUAUAUUACACUAAAAAAUAUCUUCAUGAUAAGUAAAUUAAUUUUCUUGAAAAGAAACUUGAAGCUACAUACCUUGUAGAACAUGUUGCUUUAACUCCGACAGAAUCUCAACUUAAUUUCUAAGCUUUUUCUAAUAUCAGAAAUACUACUCAUAUAACUUAAAAAUCAUCCUUAAAGUUUCAAGAGAAAUGAAAUUAAAAUGAAAGAGAAAACACACUUAAAGCCCGUGGGUUCUCCCUUGGUUGGCUGUGAGAUUUUGCUCUCCUUUUCUUUUGUUUCUUCAUUUUUCUCAUUUCCUUCUUCCUUCCUCUCUCUUCCUCUCACAAUUUGGGUAAAGGUUUCUCAAGGAAAAACCCCCAAAUUCCAUCAAUUUCCCUCACUUUUAUUUGGUUUCUUCCAUUUUCCUCUCUUUUUUCCUCUUCUCUUUCUCUCUUUAACCUUGCUUUCUC